UCCAUACCACUGCUAGAGACU
This 21-nucleotide microRNA is filed under the name Physcomitrium patens. Its description in RNAcentral is "ppt-miR11318". Lineage: Eukaryota; Viridiplantae; Streptophyta; Bryopsida; Funariales; Funariaceae. The record is from miRBase by way of RNAcentral.